RNAcentral lists this ribosomal RNA (501 nucleotides) under Vibrio campbellii. Its description in RNAcentral is "bacterial SSU rRNA". It matches the Rfam family "Bacterial small subunit ribosomal RNA", at positions 121 to 617 of the family's 1533-position model. The record is from RNAcentral. Lineage: Bacteria; Pseudomonadati; Pseudomonadota; Gammaproteobacteria; Vibrionales; Vibrionaceae.
GGAAAUUGCCCUGAUGUGGGGGAUAACCAUUGGAAACGAUGGCUAAUACCGCAUGAUGCCUACGGGCCAAAGAGGGGGACCUUCGGGCCUCUCGCGUCAGGAUAUGCCUAGGUGGGAUUAGCUAGUUGGUGAGGUAAGGGCUCACCAAGGCGACGAUCCCUAGCUGGUCUGAGAGGAUGAUCAGCCACACUGGAACUGAGACACGGUCCAGACUCCUACGGGAGGCAGCAGUGGGGAAUAUUGCACAAUGGGCGCAAGCCUGAUGCAGCCAUGCCGCGUGUGUGAAGAAGGCCUUCGGGUUGUAAAGCACUUUCAGUCGUGAGGAAGGUGGUGUAGUUAAUAGCUGCAUUAUUUGACGUUAGCGACAGAAGAAGCACCGGCUAACUCCGUGCCAGCAGCCGCGGUAAUACGGAGGGUGCGAGCGUUAAUCGGAAUUACUGGGCGUAAAGCGCAUGCAGGUGGUUUGUUAAGUCAGAUGUGAAAGCCCGGGGCUCAACCUCG